AGUGAACGCUGGCGGUAGGCCUAACACAUGCAAGUCGAACGGCAGCACAGUAAGAGCUUGCUCUUACGGGUGGCGGGUGGCGGACGGGUGAGGAAUACAUCGGAAUCUACUUUUUCGUGGGGGAUAACGUAGGGAAACUUACGCUAAUACCGCAUACGACCUACGGGUGAAAGCAGGGGAUCUUCGGACCUUGCGCGAUUGAAUGAGCCGAUGUCGGAUUAGCUAGUUGGCGGGGUAAAGGCCCACCAAGGCGACGAUCCGUAGCUGGUCUGAGAGGAUGAUCAGCCACACUGGAACUGAGACACGGUCCAGACUACUACGGGAGGCAGCAGUGGGGAAUAUUGGGCAAUGGGCGCAAGCCUGAUCCAGCCAUACCGAGUGGGUGAAGAAGGCCUUCGGGUUGUAAAGCCCUUUUGUUGGGAAAGAAAAGCAGCAGGUUAAUACCCCGCUGUUCUGACGGUACCCAAAGAAUAAGCACCGGCUAACUUCGUG
Molecule: ribosomal RNA, 492 nt
Filed under: uncultured bacterium
Lineage: Bacteria
Description: partial 16S ribosomal RNA
Rfam family: Bacterial small subunit ribosomal RNA
Source: RNAcentral